GCAGACACAUUCCAGCCGAUCAGCAGCAGACCCUCCCUCCCAGACCCUCCCACCUCCUGGACAGCAUCCAUUUUGCAGCUGCAUUCUUAGUGAGCUGUCCAGGAGGUGGGAGGGUCUGGGAGGGAGGGUCUGCUGCUGAUUGGCUGGAAUGUGUCUG
This is a non-coding RNA of Pelobates cultripes (western spadefoot toad), 157 nucleotides long. The record is from the annotation of a GenBank genome assembly. Lineage: Eukaryota; Metazoa; Chordata; Amphibia; Anura; Pelobatidae.